Molecule: ribosomal RNA, 471 nt
Filed under: uncultured bacterium
Lineage: Bacteria
Description: bacterial SSU rRNA
Rfam family: Bacterial small subunit ribosomal RNA
Source: RNAcentral
GACGAACGCUGGCGGCAUGCUUAACACAUGCAAGUCGAACGAGAAUCACUUGAAGGAGACUUUGGUCAACGGAUUGUGAGGACAGUGGCGGACGGGUGAGUAACGCGUGAGGAACCUGCCUUUCAGAGGGGGACAACAGUUGGAAACGACUGCUAAUACCGCAUAAUACUGAGAAGUCAAAGGUUGGUUUACCAAUCGCGUUUAGAUGUGCCUAGGAGGGAUUAGCUAGUUGGUGGGGUAAAGGCCUACCAAGGCGAUGAUCUCUAGCUGGUCUGAGAGGAUGACCAGCCACACUGGAACUGAGACACGGUCCAGACUCCUACGGGAGGCAGCAGUGGGGGAUAUUGGCACAAUGGGGGAAACCCUGAUGCAGCAACGCCGCGUGAGGGAAGAAGGUUUUCGGAUUGUAAACCUCUGUUUUUAGUGAAGAAAAAUGACGGUAGCUAAAGAGGAAGCCACGGCUAACUACGU